GUACCAUCAGAAAAAGGACCGGCUAAUUCCGUGCCAGCAGCCGCGGUAAUACGGAAGGUCCAGGCGUUAUCCGGAUUUAUUGGGUUUAAAGGGAGCGCAGGCGGCGGCGUAAGUCAGUUGUGAAAUCGUGCGGCUUAACCGUGCAAUUGCAGUUGAUACUGCGUCGCUUGAGUGCACACAGGGAUGUUGGAAUUCAUGGUGUAGCGGUGAAAUGCUUAGAUAUCAUGAAGAACUCCGAUCGCGAAGGCAUAUGUCCGGAGUGCAACUGACGCUGAGGCUCGAAAGUGUGGGUAUCAAACAGGAUUAGAUACCCUGGUAGUCCACGCCGUAAACGAUGAAUUCUAGGUGUAGGGGCCCCAAGCCUCUGUGCCGCCGCUAACGCAUUAAGUAUUCCGCCUGGGGAGUACGGUCGCAAGAUUAAAACUCAAAGGAAUUGACGGGGUCCCGCACAAGCAGCGGAGCAUGUGGUUUUAAUUCGAAGCAACGCGAAGAACCUUACCUAGACUUGACAUGUCCUGAAUUACCAGUAAUGUGGGAAGUUCCUUCGGGAACAGGAACACAGGUGGUGCAUGGUUGUCGUCAGCUCGUGUCGUGAGAUGUUGGGUUAAGUCCCGCAACGAGCGCAACCCUUAUUGUUAGUUGGUACCAUUAAGUUGACCACUCUAGCGAGACUGCCCGGGUUAACCGGGAGGAAGGUGGGGAUGACGUCAAAUCAUCAUGCCCCUUAUGUCUAGGGCUACACACGUGCUACAAUGGCAAGUACAAAGAGAAGCAAUACUGUGAAGUGGAGCAAAACUCAAAAACUUGUCUCAGUUCGGAUUGUAGGCUGAAACUCGCCUACAUGAAGCUGGAGUUGCUAGUAAUCGCGAAUCAGAAUGUCGCGGUGA
This 887-nucleotide ribosomal RNA is filed under the name uncultured bacterium. Its description in RNAcentral is "bacterial SSU rRNA". It matches the Rfam family "Bacterial small subunit ribosomal RNA", at positions 475 to 1365 of the family's 1533-position model. The record is from RNAcentral.